RNAcentral lists this non-coding RNA (24 nucleotides) under Rattus norvegicus (Norway rat). The record is from RNAcentral. Lineage: Eukaryota; Metazoa; Chordata; Mammalia; Rodentia; Muridae.
UAGAACAAUUAUGAGCCUUACACU